GGCGGGUCUCCCCGCAUUGUGGGGUGGUCAACCUGGUCAGGUCCGGAAGGAAGCAGCCACAGCCAAUUCCUGCAAGUGCCGGGGGUCAGGCUCGCCACC
This 99-nucleotide signal recognition particle RNA is filed under the name Rhodocyclaceae bacterium. RNAcentral describes it as "signal recognition particle sRNA small type". It matches the Rfam family "Bacterial small signal recognition particle RNA". From Rfam's summary of the family: The signal recognition particle (SRP) is a universally conserved ribonucleoprotein involved in the co-translational targeting of proteins to membranes. Lineage: Bacteria; Pseudomonadati; Pseudomonadota; Betaproteobacteria; Rhodocyclales; Rhodocyclaceae. The record is from RNAcentral.